AGGAUGAACGCUGGCGGCGUGCCUAAUACAUGCAAGUCGAACGAGGUCUUCGGACCGAGUGGCGAACGGGUGAGUAACACGUUGGUACCUACCCCGAAGUGGGGAAUAACUGCCCGAAAGGGUGGCUAAUACCGCAUAAUACCGCAAGGUUAAAGCAGUAAUGCGCUUCGGGAGGGGCCUGCGUCCCAUUAGCUAGUUGGUAGGGUAAUGGCCUACCAAGGCGACGAUGGGUAGCUGGAUCGAGAGGUUGACCAGCCACACUGGGACUGAGAUACGGCCCAGACUCCUACGGGAGGCAGCAGUAAGGAAUCUUCCACAAUGGACGAAAGUCUGAUGGAGCAACGCCGCGUGCAGGAUGACGGCCUUCGGGUUGUAAACUGCUUUUAUAUGGGAAGAUUAUGACGGUACCAUAUGAAUAAGGACCGGCUAACUACGUGCCAGCAGCCGC
This 448-nucleotide ribosomal RNA is filed under the name uncultured bacterium. RNAcentral describes it as "SSU rRNA". It matches the Rfam family "Bacterial small subunit ribosomal RNA", at positions 26 to 518 of the family's 1533-position model. The record is from RNAcentral.